ACACACAACUCUAAGCUUUUACCUCAAAAUUGUAAAAGACAAUAAUUUAUAAAAAGCACACUCAAGGAACAGGGAAGCACCAUCCUCUGCCCCGCCCGCUGCCCCUCCUUCUCGGGCUCCCUCGGCCCCGCCCCCGGAAGUCCCGCCUCUAGCCCCGCUCUUGCAGUUUCUUCCGGAACUAGAAGCAAGGAUCGCCGAGGGACGGUCACACGGGCGAAUAUUGCCUUCUAAAGAUUUACUUAGCCUGAAGAAGAAUCCUAGAAGAGGAGGAAGAGGAUAGAAAAAGAGUCAGAAAUGGCUUUUUCUCAGGGACAGUUGACAUUCAAGGAUGUGGCCGUAGUGUUCACUCAGGAGGAGUGGGAGUGCCUGGACCCUGCUCAGAGGGCCUUGUACAGGGACGUGAUGUUGGAGACCUGCAGGAACCUGAUCUCUGUGGGUGAGGAUUUCUUCCCUCUAGAAGCUGGACUAUGCCCUUAGCUCUCUCUCAAAUACAUCCGUUCAAGCAAUUACAACUAAAAGCAAACUCUGACAAAGGAGAAGUAUUCCAAAUAGUGAUACUGGGAAGACACGAAAGGAAUAAAAUGAAGCAUUUUUCCCGCUGAGGAAUCCAGGAAAUUAUGUAUGACUUUUGAGUCUUUGCACAGGUGAGGCAGGAAAUGACGAAGGAAUUCCUCUAACCCGUAACGAAAACCUCACUGAUGAGCAAAAUCCACGUGGUCGAAGUGGCACAGGAAACAAGCCUAUGGAAAGCAGACUUGCAGUAAGCUCUCAAGAUGGACUGCACAUUGUUAGAAGUGAAGAGAAAACUGCUGCAUGUAAUCAGGCCGACCAGAAUGUCAACAGUAAUGCCUCAUUUUCACCACUUCAAGGAGUUUCUUCUAGUCUGCACACCAACACUUCUAAUAUAUAUGGGAGUGAUUUUACGCAUCCUUCGUUACUGACACAAGACCAGAAAGCACACAGGGAAAGACCUCACAAGUAUACUCAGUGUGGCAAAACUUUUCUUCAGAGAUCAUCCCUCCGUAGACAUCAGACCGUCCAUACAGGAGAGAAAUUACGUGAAUGUGAUGUCUGUGGGAAAGUCUUUGGGCGGAAUUUGCAGUUCUCCCGUCGUAAGAGAGUUCACACUGGAGAGAGACCUUACAAAUAUAACGAGCGUCACAAAGCGUUUAGUCGUAAAACAGCCCUUCGAAGACAUCAGAGAAUUCAUUCUCGAGAGAAACUUUACAAAUGUAAUGAGUGUGGCAAAAACCUUUCAUCAGUCCUCACACUUCAGAAAACAUCAACUAAUUCAUCCCGGAUAAAAACCAUAUAAAUGUGAUGUCUUUGGGAAAAGGGGGGUCAAAAUGCAUGCCUCACAACUCAGCAAAGAGUUCAUGCCGCAGAGACCUGAGAAACGUAAUUGUUUUGGGAAAAUCUUUGAUUUCCGCUCCAAUCUCAGGAGACAUUAGAUAAUCCACAGAGGAGAGCAGUUAUAUAAAUGUGAUGUAUGUGGGAAAUCUGUAGCUGAAAUUCAUACCUUGCAAUUCACUAGAACAUUCAUACUGGAGGAAGACCUUCUAAAUGCAAUGAGGGAGUCAAGGGCUGUGGUGAAACAGCAACCCGUACAACCAGGAGAUAAUUCGUACUGGAGAGAAACAUUUCAAAAGAUUCCUUCUAAGUGGAUCACUGUUUUCCAAAUAUUUGAUUUCCAGGAGAUGUUUCUGUUAUUGAUUUCUAGUUUAAUUCCAUUGUCAUAGAUGCAUUUUGUAUAACCUGAAUUCUUAUGAUUUGUGAAGAACUGUUUGAUGGCCAGGAAUAUGGUUUGUCUUACUGAAGUAGUAUGUGCACUUUGUUGUGUAAAAAUUCUCUCUUUAGGUGGAUUGUUCCUCUUGUAGAAGGAAAAAUUCAGAUCUUCCUACAGUGUGUUUCUUUCCUCUGAGUCUCCUUUAUGCUCCCAGCACAACCACUCUCACACAGAGCAAUUUGACAGCUCUGGUCACCAAUGGGGGGGUGCAGGGUUCCCAUAUGAGGUCCCACAGAUCCUACAAGCCAUCUGCCCCAGCGCACUUCAGAUGCCAGUCCCAAGGCCAGGUCAUCACGUCUGCUCCUUACCCACUGACUAUAUAGCAGAGUUUCCAACAACCCCCUUUUUAGGUUCAGUGAAUUGGCUAGAGCACCUCACAGAACUCAGGGAAACACCAGUUUAUUAAAGGGUAUGACAAAGGAUACAGAUGAAUCGCCAGGUGGAAAGUCUCGUGGGGGAGUUCUAGGCGGACCCUGCUGCAGGACCUUCUGUCCUUGUGGAGGUGGGGUGCAUCAACCUCCCAGCGUGGGGCUCUCUGAAUCAACUCAUGUUGCAGUCUUACAGAGGCUUCCUCAAGUGGGUCAGAGCAAUUAUCUUUUCUAGCCCCUCAGUCUGGAAAAUGAAGCAUGGGGCUGAAAAUUCAAAGCUUCCAAUCAUGGCUUUUUCUUUUUGGUAACAGUCCCCAUUUAGGAGCUGUCUAGGAGCUCACCUGGAGUCACCUCCAUAGAACAAAAGAUGCUGAUUUAGGGAUUCCCACGGGAAUGGGAGCCCUAUGUGAGGGAUGAGGUCACAGACAAAUUGAACAAGAGGGAUUUCCAAUGCUCUUAUCACUUAGGAAGUUACCAGGGUUUUAGAAGCUGCCAGGGAUGGGGGGCAGAGGCCAAUGUGUGUAUUUUCUGUUAUCUCACUGUUCUAUAAAUGUCAGUUACAUUAAUUUCAUUGAUUGGUACUAUGUUUUCUGCCUACUUGUCUGUUACUCAGGGAGCGGGCAUGGAAGUCUCACCAUAAACCUGGAUUUGUUUACUUCUUACUACAUUUCUGCCAGUUUUUCAGAGAUUGGAGGUUCUGCUGUUGGCCGCAUAAUUUCCUGUUGUCGGGGCAUUCCUGUGAAGUUCUCCCUUUAUGAUUAUAAAAUGGAUUUCCUUAUCCUUGGUCGUAUUAUUUGCUCUUUAAUCUACUUUGCUGUUAAGAUACUCGCUGUAUUUUGAAUUGUGUUGAUACGGUUGAUCUUUUUUCCUCAUUUUCACUCUGUGUACUUUAAUUUUUGGAGUACAUUUCUUGUGGAACCAUAUUGUUGGUGCUAUCAUUUCAGCCUGUUGAGUGGAAGAGACAUUAGGGCAGGGACCAUUUCAAGGACAGAUGCUGGAGAAAGAAGGGCAUAGCCAGCCUGGUACCUUCCAUGAGGUCCCCCUAGAUAGGAACCAUCAGUGAACAAUAUAAAAUCAGGAUUAUCCACUGGGCUUUCUCGAAGGACAAUCCUAGGAGAUAAAAGAUUGUCAGUCAUAACAAUACAGUCAUGCGUUUAGUCAUUGACCUCUGAUUCUUCUGGGUGCAAGCUGGCUGGAUUAAGUUUAUUAUACCUGUGGGGGUUAUGUUUGGUGAGAACAAGACAGUCUCACGAGAAGUUAAACGGCUUGCUGGAUGUGUGUGGUGAGAGCUUAGGAAAGCUUCCACGGACUGGGGAACAGUGAGAGGGUGACUCAUGACUGUCUCUUCUGUGGUUUGACACAGCAUGGCUGUUGCAGUGACAGCCUGGAGACCAGAGGGGAGGCCCUUGGCUACUGUGUCUAGUAAAUACCCUAUCGGUCAGUAGUAACUGCCAUGUUGUUGGUUAACACUCCUAGUAUGGCACCCUUGUUUUCAUGUACAAAGAGAAAAAGGGUACAUCAUAAUUUGGAUGCCCCAAGGCCGGGGUCUUUGCCAGGAGACCCUUUAUGGUUACCACAGCUUUCGAAUGUUGUUUCCCAGCAAAUUGUUCCAGUUUGCUGCUGUUUAAGUAAAUUAUAUAAUGGUCGAGCCACUAAAGAAGAAUCGGAAACCCAGCUCCUGCAGUAGUGUGCAAGCCCUAGGAAUCCUCUUAGUUGCCUUUUUUGUUUUAGGUGCAGGGAAAGCCAAAUGCCCUUUACCCUGUCUAGAUCAGUUAAAAGCCCUUCUUUAGAUACCGUAUGCCCUAAACAUUUCACGUUAGCUUUACAAAAUUGGCAUUUUUCUUUGGAUACUUAUGUCCCUUUGAAGCUAACUUCUAAGGCAAAUACAGGGCGUUUUGGUAUUUAUCAAGAAUCUGAAAACAACAGCAUCAUCUACAUACUGUAUUAAAGCUGAUUUAUGAAGAAAAAAACUAGAUCGUCUAAGUCUGCUUUUAAUAUCUGAGAAAAGGAAGUGGGGCUCUCAGUGUAGCCUGUGGCAUCACAGCCCAUGGAAAUGGUCAUUCAUUCCAAGUGAGGGUAAAAAGAUUAUCGGUCAUCAGGAGGUACAGGGGUACUAAAGGACGCACUACAGAGAUCUAUCACAGAAAAGAAGUCACUUUUUAGGGAUAUAGGAUGGUAAAUAUAGGGGUGAGAUACUACAGAAUGGUGAGGAAUAAUAAUAGUAUUGGUAGAUUUCAAAUCUUGUACAAAUCUCCAACCUUUGCCAUUAGGUUUUUUACAUGGCAGAAAGGGAGUGUUACAAAGGCUGGUGUAAGGCAUAAAAAGCCCUUUUUUCUUUCUUUUUUCUGGGGGAAGAAGUAAUUAGGUUUAUUUAUUUACUUUUUAACGGAGGUACUGGAAAUUGAGCCCAGGACCUUGUGCAUGCUAAGCACACACUCUACCACUGAGGUCCACCCUCCAUGCUACAAUAAACUACUUUUUUUUUUUAAACAAUUCUUUUUACCUUAAUUUUUACGUGCUUUUUCAUUGAAAUAUGGUCAGUUUACAAUGUUGUGUCAAUUUCUGGUGCACAGCACAAUGUCCCAGUCAUACAUAUACAUACAUAUAUUCAAUUUCAUAUUCUUUUUUCAUUAUAGGAAUAAACUACUUUUUUAAUGGAA
This is a long non-coding RNA of Camelus dromedarius (Arabian camel), 4814 nucleotides long. RefSeq lists it as uncharacterized. The record is from RefSeq and is a predicted model, not a curated record. NCBI's taxonomy places the organism in Eukaryota, Metazoa, Chordata, Mammalia, Artiodactyla, Camelidae. The transcript is spliced from 5 exons.